Molecule: non-coding RNA, 110 nt
Organism: Acanthosepion pharaonis
Lineage: Eukaryota; Metazoa; Mollusca; Cephalopoda; Sepiida; Sepiidae
Source: the annotation of a GenBank genome assembly
ACAGCCAUAUCACAUUGAAACACUGGUUCUCAUAUGAUCACUGAAAUUAAGUAGCAUCGAGCCUGUUCUGUACAUAGAUGGGUGACUGCUUGGGAUGUGCAGAUGGUGUA